This is a long non-coding RNA of Canis lupus familiaris (dog), 455 nucleotides long. RefSeq lists it as uncharacterized. The record is from RefSeq and is a predicted model, not a curated record. The transcript is spliced from 2 exons. Lineage: Eukaryota; Metazoa; Chordata; Mammalia; Carnivora; Canidae.
UCUCUCUCUCUGUCUCCCAUGAGUAAAUAAAUAAAAUCUUUUUAAAAACCAAAACAGGGAUCCCUGGGUUGGUUUUAAAUCCUAGAAAAGUGUGAUUAUAUCUAGUGACUGUCAAAAACAAGACAAUUCCAUUGUCAGUUAUAUAAAUUUAUGUGUGUAUAUGCCAUUGGAAUCAUUCCUCAGAAACCAAAGUGUACAAAGGUAGGUAAAUGUAUAAUGACAAAAAUAAUUUUUAAUGGUGAACUCUAUUAGAAACUAUUAGAGUACUGGGUAAGUGGGUAAGUCAAUUAUGGUGUAGGCAUUCAAUAGAAUUACAUGCAGCUGUUGAAAAAAGAACUAUAAAUGUGAAUAAUAGCCAUAGAAGUAUAGUUAUACUAAAUGAAAAAAAUUUUUAGACCUGUGUUCUAAUAUAAACCUCAUAAUUGUAAUAUCAAAAAUAAAACUUAAAAUAUGUA